This is a long non-coding RNA of Mercurialis annua (annual mercury), 2123 nucleotides long. RefSeq lists it as uncharacterized. The transcript has 2 exons. Lineage: Eukaryota; Viridiplantae; Streptophyta; Magnoliopsida; Malpighiales; Euphorbiaceae. The record is from RefSeq and is a predicted model, not a curated record.
UCAGAGGUGGUCUGUGCCAUGCUGUGAAUGGGUGUUCUUCCUGGGUUUGGUGACUCUAGUUGUGUCAAUGCAUCCUGUGCAACAAAGACAGCUCUUUCUUCAGUCCUGAGGCUGAAAGGUGUAGAUGUACUUGGAGAUUGAGAUUUGUUUCUGCAGGCACUCAUAAACUUUGAGCAACUGGCACGCAAGAACAGCUAUCAGAACUUAAAAACCCCUUUCAAGAAUUAUCCAAUAUGCAAAUUGAAGGUAUCUAUCUAUAAAUAAAUGAAUUGCGCUGGCGUAAAUUUUAAAAUUCUUAAAUAUCUAAGCACUAAUUAUGCAUUUCCGCAUGGCCUGAUGAAGUAAUGUUAUGUAAGAAGGAUACAAUUUAGCUUAAAACAAUUAAACCAAGCUUUAUAUGUGCGAAACACAUUACUCUGUGGGCAGGAAAUGCCAUUUUGCGCUAACUGUUUUGCUAGCGUUUGCUGACGGGUGAAGGGGUGUCGUUGCUUUGAAAUUCGUACUAAUCGCAAACAGAAAUAUGUGUCAGAGAUUUAGAACUUCGGCAUUUAUCCUGUAUCUAAUAUUGAUCAAAUUUGUCAAGAUUGCAUACCUUCUUUUUUCUGACCGAGGAGUGGCUAGAGGAUGUUUGGAUUCUCUAAGCCGAGAAACCUGCCAUUCAAAAACUAGUACACAUGAUUAGUAAUUGUUCGGUUGGAAAGCUACAUCAAGGAAACAGAACAUCAGGGAUUCAGGGCCAGAAAAUAGGCACCAUGGUCGGAGUCCUUAGAGGGGUUGAGCAAUCUUUGGAUGCUUUAGAAUUAGAACCAACUCUAGAAUUGUCAAUCUUCCGAAUAAUUGUUGACGUUAGUCUAUUAAUUUCCCUGACAGGAGUGAAAUUCAUCGACUUGUGAGUUGAUUUUGGAGUUAUUUUCUUUCUAUCCAUGGAAUCUGUUGCAGGCACUUUGUUGAUUGGGGUGGCAUUGUUUUCCUUUCUGGCGCGAAAUGGCGCAGCAGGUUUAGCUGGUGAACAUGGCAGCUUUGAUGGUCUACCAGUCAUCAAUGACUUUAAGGAAGAAACUGCAGGUUUCUUCCUGCUUAUUGACGCCGAGUUCUCUCCUUUUGAGAUGAAAUCCUGCAAAAUUGCUUUGUUAAACAUGAACAUGAAUAUGCAAAAUUGCUAAGUUCUUCAUGCUUAGUGUGAUUUUCUUUACUUUUGCACCAAAAAUGAACAUAUUUCUGUUACCUUUAACAAAGGUUUUUCCAUUAGUUUUGAUCCGCUAAGCUCGAUUUCUUUCACCUCUUCCAAAUUUUCAGCAACAUCAAACUGGCUUGGAGACUCAACCUUCACACCAUCUUCCUCAACAGCCCGACUUUCCGCAGUUAACGGAGCAACUCCUUCCUCCUUACAACUUUCAGAAUCUCCCAUUUCAAGAUCCAAGUCAUGUCCAUUAUCAUCAUCAUCAAAACCUGGUUCAGGUUCAUCAAGAUCCUGAUCAGAGUUUGCGGUCAGUUUAUCUAAAUCUUUGGUCUCACAAUCUUGAAAUUCACUUGAAUGUUCAUGGUCAGGCACUUUAUUUGCAUUUGCUUGCUCAAGCAAAGCUGCAGCCUUUCGUGCAGCAAGAUUCUUGUAAUGUGCUUCAAAGAAAGCUUUCUUCUGCGCAACCGACCCCGGGCGAGAGAAUCUUUCAGCUUCUUCAACAUACCUAUUAUGAGAGAAAGAUGACCAUUUUUCCCAGUCUAAAGAUUCUGAAGUAAACCUUCCAAAUGAUACUGACUGCCCAAAUGAAUGAACUGGGUUGCCCUGCCAUACAUUAAGUUUGAAAUUUCAUCAUUUUCUAAGUCAAAUGGCAAAAACAAAAGAACCCAUAAUCAAAUUCUGUGAACUAUUACCAGGGUUUGAAGUGAUUUGAUGGCUAGGAAGACAAAAAACAAAGACUUACUGACCUGAUCCGAGUGACUAGGAGGAACCGCAGCAUAAGAGAAUGGCUGUUGGUGCAUGAGACAAGUUGGUUCCCCCAUGAGCUAAACUUUUGUUUUGUUGACAAAAUUCUACAAAACAAAACUGUGAGCUUUUUUCUUUGUUCUAUCUGUAAUAUUCUACAGGUUAUGCAGAUGAUAACAAACAAGAAUUUGAAUUUAAA